Molecule: long non-coding RNA, 341 nt
Organism: Centruroides sculpturatus (bark scorpion)
Lineage: Eukaryota; Metazoa; Arthropoda; Arachnida; Scorpiones; Buthidae
Exons: 3
Source: RefSeq, a predicted model, not a curated record
UAUUCAAAAUAUUUUAAAUCAUAUAGAGACUUGCUUCAAAAAAUACGAAGAAUUUUGCGUGAAAAAUCGACACCCAUUUCUUGAAAACCUCGAACCGAGUUUGCCGGGAGGACAUUUGAUCAUCAUCUCGGCUGCCUCAUCAUCAUCGCCGAUUGUUAAUAUGCAGAGUUCGGGUCCUCCUUAUCAAGGAAAGGAAGCACGUCAACUGAUUGGAUAAAUGAUUUUGGAUUCAUGGAUCUGUAGAAAUUGUCACAGAAUACUAUUAUUUAGGUAUUCCAUUUUCUUCUAAUAGUUUAUUUAAAUUUCUACCAAAUAUAAUCUUUAAAUUUUUUACACAAAAA